CGGGCGGGCUCGCAGGAAGAUGGCCGGGCGAGGCGGCGGCGGCGGCGCGGCGCGGAGCGGCGGAGGCCGCGGCGUUGUGAUUUCAGACAACUGGCCUGGAUACAGUCUGGAUUUGUUCACUUAUCCACAGCAUUACUAUGGGGAUCUGGAAUACGUGCUUAUACCUCAUGGCAUCAUUGUUGACAGGACAGAACGAUUGGCCAAAGAUAUUGUGCAAGAUAUUGGAGACAAUGAUAUUGUGGUUCUCUGUGUCCUCAAAGGUGGCUACAAGUUCUGUGCUGACCUCGUGGAGCACAUUAAAAAUCUCAGCAGGAAUUCAGAAAGAUUCAUCUCCAUGAAAGUCGAGUUUGUUAGACUGAAAAGUUACCACAAUGACCAAUCCAUGCAAGAUAUGCAGAUAAUGGGAGGAGACGACCUUUCAAAGCUGACUGGGAAGAAUGUCCUCAUUGUGGAGGAUAUUGUUGGAACUGGAAGGACUAUGAAGGUUCUGCUUAAUAAUAUAGAAAAAUACAAGCCCAAAAUGAUUAAAGUGGCAAGUUUGUUGGUGAAAAGAACAUCUCAGCCUGAUGGCUACAGACCAGAUUAUUAUGGAUUUGAAAUUCCAGAUUUGUUUGUGGUAGGUUAUGCCUUAGACUACAACGAGCACUUCAGAGACCUAAACCACAUAUGUGUUAUCAAUGAUCAUGGCAAAGCAAAAUACAGAGUCUGAGGCAGGAACAUCCUCACCUGAAGAUCUGCAGGCUCAGUGAAGCAGAGAUUUGACUACACUCCCUCAAGCGCCUCCCAGAAGAGCCGAUCAAGUGACUUCUGCUUCCUUCAGCUUCGUGUACUGGAAGGCUACUGUAAGGCCUCCUAGGAGACACCUCCAGGCUGAACAGCCCCAACUCUGAGCCUGUCCAUGUAAGAGAGGUGCUCCAGCCCUCUUACCAUCUUCGUGGCCUCCUCUGGACCUGCACCAGCAGUUCAACAUCCUUCUUAUCCUGCUUGUAUGAGUGCUUAGCUGCAUUGCCUGCCUUCAAGAAAUGUUUCUUUCCUCAUCUGGAUAGAAGGGGAAAACAUACAGCAACAUAACUUGGAAUAAGAACAGGAGGUACCAGGAUAAAAAGGAGGGGUACCUAGAGGAAAAAAGGAAAUGACUUGGGAAGCAAGAAGAAUGAGCUGAAUGAUUUCAGGAGCCUCCUUUCCUUACAGAUUUGAGCAUUCAGGCAGUAUCAGAAGAAUAACUGCAGUGGGCUCAGUUGAAGUGAGACACUGAGAGCUGUCUUUACAGCCAUGAGGACUGAAAAAUAACCUGCUGUAGGGAGGCUUUGAUUUUCAAUCCCAGUUCCAUGAAAGGGACACAUCUCCAACUGCUGCCUUCUCCAGCAGUGAACAGGUCAAGAUUUCUCUAAAACACAAGGAUGUCUCCAAAAGAGAAGCUUGAUACAACACAAAUGCAACAGAACCUGUUGCUCCUGCAACUGGUCCUACAACUCCGGGAAUGAGAAGAUCAAAGAGGAAUACAGCAUACCAAGAGGAAGGUUUUCUCUCUAGAUUUCUAUAUUAAUCAGAUGCAGUUAUUAAGGCUAAUUACCUCUACAGAAGUGGCAUGAUUCUUGUGGCCCCCACCUCAGGCAGUUGUACAGUCUUAACGGUCCAUUCUCAUUUGAUCAAAAGCAAAGUCCACUCUUGCUGUACCAAAAAAGAUUAAACCCCAUCCUUAGACUUCAGGGGGGAAAUGCUUUGCAUUACUGUGCACAGAGUUUGUUUCAUAUUUUGCUGAGGGCUUAAGGACUGUCUUGAGAAUUAAAUUAUCUUGGACCAUUUCCUCUCGCCUCCCUCGUAACGCUUUGGUCUAAUCCUGCAAGUGACCUUUGUGUGGACAUACUUUGCAUCCACAUGGAGCCAUUUGGAGUCUGGUGCAUGUGAAACAGCACAACACUGCAGAGAAGAGUUCCAGUAUGUCUAAUGAGUUAAAAUAUUUGGCUGCUGCUUUGCUCUGGGAAAACAGUUCUGAAAUGAACAUCUGAGGGUGUCUCAGCAGAAGACUGGGCUGCAAACACUCUGUAAACGUGGCUUUGUUCCUCAGCUCAUUAGUUUCAUUUUGUCUUCUCACAACAUUAUAUAAUUGCUGAGCAGAUUUCUGGAUUGACUUUAAUCAAGAUUUGCAACUCUAUGUCCACCGUCAAAUAGGCACAAACUGGUGGAGAAUGCUAACAAUUAAUUUGGCUACCCUAGAAACCUGCUAUAUGCAAUGCUUUCUUCAGACAGUUAAAAAUCAAGUUUCCUUCUGACACACUGCAGUUUGCACAGGCAGUCAGCAAUGAGCAUUUCUGUCUGUUAGUUGCAAUAAUUUCCAUGGCUGGAUUUCUAAA
Pogoniulus pusillus (Red-fronted tinkerbird) is the source of this 2354-nucleotide RNA transcript. It is a transcript of the gene named phosphoribosyl transferase domain containing 1, with no coding region annotated. Lineage: Eukaryota; Metazoa; Chordata; Aves; Piciformes; Lybiidae. The record is from RefSeq and is a predicted model, not a curated record. The transcript has 13 exons.